RNAcentral lists this transfer RNA (73 nucleotides) under Cordylochernes scorpioides. Its description in RNAcentral is "tRNA-Thr". Lineage: Eukaryota; Metazoa; Arthropoda; Arachnida; Pseudoscorpiones; Chernetidae. The record is from RNAcentral.
GUCCAGGGGCGAAAAUCGAACCCACAACCUUCUGCUUACCGGGCAGGUGCCAUGUCCACUAGGCUACCCUGGA